Molecule: long non-coding RNA, 2219 nt
Filed under: Cricetulus griseus (Chinese hamster)
Lineage: Eukaryota; Metazoa; Chordata; Mammalia; Rodentia; Cricetidae
Description: lncRNA (ENSCGRG00015039263.1)
Source: RNAcentral
CAGGAAAUUGCUCUCUUGCUCUUCCUCUAUCUCCUGCUCUCUUCUCUACAGAGUUGCCAUGUUAUCCCAGGAAAAGGACACCAGCAGAAGGCAUCCUCUAUAAGAUAAGUCUUAUAAAAUACAUAGAUUUAUGAUAAUUAAGACUGAGCUAGCAUAUCAGAAAUCCUAGUAAAAAAAUGGACCACACCUCUUCGAGUACACUGGAUCCAAUUUGCUUCGUUUCAACUGACACUCAGGCCAGAACUUCGGAUAGUGACUCUAAUCAACACAGGAACUUCAAUUAAGAUAAGGACUCCAACCUGGACCUUCAAUCAAGCAUCUCCCACCAGACACAGACUGGAUAUAAUCCAGUCAGGAAUUUCACUACACUAACAUUUUUUCCCCCAUAGGACUCCACAAGGCUGUCAUUGUCCCAGAGGCAACAUGCUGAGAACGUGAGACCUGGCAACUGUCAUUUCACAUACUGACAUGAUCUCAUCAGUAGGCAGCUGUCCACUAGUGUUGGAAUCAGGGCUUUGUCAAAGGGAAGGGAAAUGGCCACUAUGGGAUAGAGAUUCUUCAGUGUGUCUGACACACAUCUGAAACAUGAAUGAAGGGUUACUGCAGAGACAUGGAUGACUCAAAAGCAGCAUGGGUGACAAUCCGUGGAUGCUGCAUCACUGGAGGUACCUGAACAACCUUGUAGGCAGCUUACCUGAAAAGUCCUCUUCCUCUAACAAUUCUUUAUUGUUUAUAUAACCUGGCAGGAGGACAGAUGAGUCUAGUUGACUAUCACUAGACCCUUUCUUCAAUCCAGAGGAAAAAGGACCUUAAAAGGGGGCUCUGAUACACAGACACACUGCAACAACAUCGUUCAUCCUUCAUAUAGAUCUUCUCCUGCUUGAGACUCUGCUGUGUCCUGUCUUUGAGAAGACGGGGAGCAGCUUCUUGACAGUGUCUUUAGGAUUCCUGAUGCUUCGGUGUUCAGAUUCCCAGAUAAAUGUUGGAACUGUGUUGAGGAACAUGGCUGUAUUGUAGAACAUUUACAAUGAAAGGUUAUUUUCUAAUGAGACUGGAAGGAAAAAGGUUGAAGAAAAUGACCCAGAAUUUGCCAUUUUUGGACUGGAUAAUCUUUUUUUUUUUUCAAAAGAAAAGUGUGUGCACAUGCACUAGUUAGUGUAUGUGUGUGUAAUCCACUGAGUUUAAUCAGAGUUGCUUGUUUGAGCAUGACAGUGAGUUAUUUACUGGGGUUUAGGCAUCUUUCAAGUAGCUACUUCACCUCCCUCAAUAACCAUGAUCUGUGAAUAGUUUCACAGGGGAGGGGAGGGACUCAUGAGCCCCUUCCCAUCAAUGACAGAAUGUUAAUAGACCCAUCGUGUUCAGAGCUUGAGCAAGUGACCACAGCUAUAGAGAGUUCAUUAGUUAAAUGGCCAUGUCAAGUCUUGACAAUAGGAUUCCAUGGGAUUCCUCCCUGUCCUGUGUCUGUGUAACCAUUUCUUAUCAUGUGCUUCAUUCUCACCCUUCCUUAAUUCUUCAGUAAUACUUCUUCCUUUAUUACAGAAACAGUUCUGUAAUAAAACCAGGUCUUCCGUAUCUAGAGCUGUUUCUAUUGCAAUGUCUAUUUCCUUUCUUUCUUUCUUUCUUUCUUUCUUUCUUUCUUUCUUUCUUUCUUCCUUCCUUCUUUUCCUCUCUUUAUCCUCUCUCUUUUCUUUCUCUUUCUCUCUCUCUCUCUCUCACAUACACACACACACACACACACACAGAGAGAGAGAGAGAGAGAGAGAGAGAGAGAGAGAGAGAGAGAGAGAGAGAAGAGGAGGAGGGAGGAGGGAGGGUGAGGCUAACUACAAAAUCACUAAGCAACGUCCCCAGUCUUGCUUUCUAUCUAAAGCAAUGAUCUGCUACUGGAGAAAACCUUCCAUACCCCAUAUCUUAUAAUGACCUAAACAAUUUAUUACUCAACCUGUCUCCAGUUUUCAUGGCAUCAAUAAGGCUACUCAUGCAAUUUUUAGAUGUUUACUCUGAAGUGAUAGAUUAAUAGUCAUUUAAACAAAGUGCAGACUGCCUGAAUUAGUCUAACAAUUAUUUAUUUAAAGCCUGUAUGACACAGUAAUCAUUUCUCUGAAAUAGAAGUCGCUAUUAUACAAUCAGAGGGAGUUGUCACUUAAAAGAUGUGAAUUUAAACUUCAAAAUACACAUUUUAAUAUUAAAAGAUUUGGCAUUACUUGUUGAAAUGUUUA